AUAUCAAUAAGCGGAGGAAAAGAAACCAACAGGGAUUGCCCUAGUAACGGCGAGUGAAGCGGCAACAGCUCAAAUUUGAAAUCUGGCGCAAGCCCGAGUUGUAAUUUGUAGAGGAUGCUUCUGGCCAGCGGCCGUUCUAAGUUCCUUGGAACAGGACGUCAUAGAGGGUGAGAAUCCCGUAUGUGACCGGCGCGCAGCCUUUACGUAGCUCCUUCGACGAGUCGAGUUGUUUGGGAAUGCAGCUCUAAAUGGGAGGUAAAUUUCUUCUAAAGCUAAAUACCGGCCAGAGACCGAUAGCGCACAAGUAGAGUGAUCGAAAGAUGAAAAGCACUUUGGAAAGAGAGUUAAAAAGCACGUGAAAUUGUUGAAAGGGAAGCGCUUGCAACCAGACUUCGUAGCGAUGUUCCGCCGGUCUUCUGACCGGUCUACUCAUCGUCGCGAGGCCAACAUCGUCUGGGGCCGCCGGAUAAGACCUAAGGAAUGUAGCUUCCCUCGGGAAGUGUUAUAGCCUUUGGUGAUGCGGCGCGUCUCGGGCGAGGUCCGCGCUUCGGCAAGGA
This 557-nucleotide ribosomal RNA is filed under the name Ragnhildiana perfoliati. RNAcentral describes it as "eukaryotic LSU rRNA". It matches the Rfam family "Eukaryotic large subunit ribosomal RNA", at positions 40 to 611 of the family's 3401-position model. Lineage: Eukaryota; Fungi; Ascomycota; Dothideomycetes; Mycosphaerellales; Mycosphaerellaceae. The record is from RNAcentral.